This 1437-nucleotide ribosomal RNA is filed under the name uncultured organism. RNAcentral's name for it is "16S ribosomal RNA". It matches the Rfam family "Bacterial small subunit ribosomal RNA". The record is from RNAcentral.
GAUGAACGCUAGCUACAGGCUUAACACAUGCAAGUCGAGGGGCAGCAUGGUCUUAGCUUGCUAAGGCCGAUGGCGACCGGCGCACGGGUGAGUAACACGUAUCCAACCUGCCGUCUACUCUUGGACAGCCUUCUGAAAGGAAGAUUAAUACAAGAUGGCAUCAUGAGUCCGCAUGUUCACAUGAUUAAAGGUAUUCCGGUAGACGAUGGGGAUGCGUUCCAUUAGAUAGUAGGCGGGGUAACGGCCCACCUAGUCUUCGAUGGAUAGGGGUUCUGAGAGGAAGGUCCCCCACAUUGGAACUGAGACACGGUCCAAACUCCUACGGGAGGCAGCAGUGAGGAAUAUUGGUCAAUGGGCGAGAGCCUGAACCAGCCAAGUAGCGUGAAGGAUGACUGCCCUAUGGGUUGUAAACUUCUUUUAUAAAGGAAUAAAGUCGGGUAUGGAUACCCGUUUGCAUGUACUUUAUGAAUAAGGAUCGGCUAACUCCGUGCCAGCAGCCGCGGUAAUACGGAGGAUCCGAGCGUUAUCCGGAUUUAUUGGGUUUAAAGGGAGCGUAGAUGGAUGUUUAAGUCAGUUGUGAAAGUUUGCGGCUCAACCGUAAAAUUGCAGUUGAUACUGGAUAUCUUGAGUGCAGUUGAGGCAGGCGGAAUUCGUGGUGUAGCGGUGAAAUGCUUAGAUAUCACGAAGAACUCCGAUUGCGAAGGCAGCCUGCUAAGCUGCAACUGACAUUGAGGCUCGAAAGUGUGGGUAUCAAACAGGAUUAGAUACCCUGGUAGUCCACACGGUAAACGAUGAAUACUCGCUGUUUGCGAUAUACGGCAAGCGGCCAAGCGAAAGCGUUAAGUAUUCCACCUGGGGAGUACGCCGGCAACGGUGAAACUCAAAGGAAUUGACGGGGGCCCGCACAAGCGGAGGAACAUGUGGUUUAAUUCGAUGAUACGCGAGGAACCUUACCCGGGCUUAAAUUGCAGAUGAAUUACGGUGAAAGCCGUAAGCCGCAAGGCAUCUGUGAAGGUGCUGCAUGGUUGUCGUCAGCUCGUGCCGUGAGGUGUCGGCUUAAGUGCCAUAACGAGCGCAACCCUUGUUGUCAGUUACUAACAGGUUCCGCUGAGGACUCUGACAAGACUGCCAUCGUAAGAUGUGAGGAAGGUGGGGAUGACGUCAAAUCAGCACGGCCCUUACGUCCGGGGCUACACACGUGUUACAAUGGGGGGUACAGAGGGCCGCUACCACGCGAGUGGAUGCCAAUCCCCAAAACCUCUCUCAGUUCGGACUGGAGUCUGCAACCCGACUCCACGAAGCUGGAUUCGCUAGUAAUCGCGCAUCAGCCACGGCGCGGUGAAUACGUUCCCGGGCCUUGUACACACCGCCCGUCAAGCCAUGGGAGCCGGGGGUACCUGAAGUGCGUAACCGCGAGGAGCGCCCUAGGGUAAAACU